Molecule: non-coding RNA, 895 nt
Filed under: Entamoeba invadens IP1
Lineage: Eukaryota; Evosea; Mastigamoebida; Endamoebidae
Description: Eukaryotic large subunit ribosomal RNA
Rfam family: Eukaryotic large subunit ribosomal RNA
Source: Rfam by way of RNAcentral
ACGAAGGACUAAAUAUAUGGCAGGAGUCAUUUAGGAAAGGCUAGAGUUAAACUGUUGGGACCCGAAAGAUGUUGAACUAUGCUUGUGGUGUUUAAAGCCAAAGGAAACUUUGGUGGAUAGACUUAGGAGUGUUAACGUGCAAAUUACUUGCAAUAUAUGAGUAUAGGGGCGAAAGACUAAUCGAACUAUCUAGUAGCUGGUUCCACCUGAAUAUUCCCUUAGGAAGGUUGAAGUGAGAAAGUAGUGAAGAUUGGUAAAGAUAAUGAUUGGAUGUAAUGGAGAGCUUGACUUUUCAACAUUUUAACAAACUAUGAAUAGUCGAGAGAUUCAAAAAUAUACUAAUUUAUUAGGAGUGAGCAUAUGGGACUUCAAAUCGGCCAAGUCUGGUAAGCAGGACUGGCGAUGCGGGAUGAACCGAACAUACAGAUAAAGUAUCCAAGUCUUGCAUGAGGAGAACCAUAAAAGAGGUUCAUUCACAUUAAAUCCAGGUUGAUGGCCAUGGAAGUUGGAAAUCGCUAAGGAGUGUGUAACAACUCACCAAUCGAAUGGAUAAGCCCUGAAAAUGGAAGGUAUUAUAAUGAGAGAGAGUGAUGCUGUAUCCUUGUGGAGGCUGAGGCACACGAGGAGUACGGAAAUGCAUGGUGUCGACAAUACGUGAGUGAUAAAGGUAGAGAAGUAAUUUCUAUUGAAACAGACUUGAUUACAGAUCUUGGUGGAAGUAGCAAAUACUUAGAAGAGGAAAAAAAUAUCUAAGGACUGAAGAGGAGAAAGGUUCCUAGACAACAUUAAUUGGAAUAGGGUGAAUCAAUUCUCAAAGACAAACAGGGAAAUGCAAGAAUGAACUCAUACACAAGGCUUACAAAACAACCAUACCCAAUGAAUAUAUAAACUUGUA